AGUGAACGCUGGCGGUAGGCCUAACACAUGCAAGUCGAACGGCAGCACAGUAAGAGCUUGCUCUUACGGGUGGCGAGUGGCGGACGGGUGAGGAAUACAUCGGAAUCUACUUUUUCGUGGGGGAUAACGUAGGGACACUUACGCUAAUACCGCAUACGACCUACGGGUGAAAGCAGGGGAUCUUCGGACCUUGCGCGAUUGAAUGAGACGAUGUCGGAUUAGCUAGUUGGCGGGGUAAAGGCCCACCAAGGCGACGAUCCGUAGCUGGUCUGAGAGGAUGAUCAGCCACACUGGAACUGAGACACGGUCCAGACUCCUACGGGAGGCAGCAGUGGGGAAUAUUGGACAAUGGGCGCAAGCCUGAUCCAGCCAUACCGCGUGGGUGAAGAAGGCCUUCGGGUUGUAAAGCCCUUUUGUUGGGAAAGAAAAGCAGCAGGUUAAUACCCCGCUGUUCUGACGGUACCCAAAGAAUAAGCACCGGCUAACUUCGUG
RNAcentral lists this ribosomal RNA (492 nucleotides) under uncultured bacterium. RNAcentral's name for it is "partial 16S ribosomal RNA". It matches the Rfam family "Bacterial small subunit ribosomal RNA", at positions 29 to 507 of the family's 1533-position model. The record is from RNAcentral.